UCGCCUGCCACGUUCUCCCUCUAUCCUCCCUGCCUGUCCUCCGUCCGAUCCCCCUCCUGCUGAUUGCGAUUGGACCCCGGACUCGUAAAAUGUUGUUUCCAUCUUGCUGUUCGUUACGGUUCGAUUUGUUAUCGAAGGUGUGUUCGUGGCGCUUAAUGCGUGUGGCCGAUUUUGUUAAUUGUAGUGAGAUGUUCUGGGUUUGUGAUGUUUAGUGGGCACUAUCAAAGAUAAGCUGGCGAUUAUGCCAGGCUUCGUCAAUUAGGCUGUUCCUAGCUCGGGAUGGAUGAGUAGCCGCAUUUCCCAGUCAUUCAGUGUCAGAUGUUGCACAGUGUAGCAGUCAAGCAGUGAUAGUGCAGGUUAACAGCUAGUUGGCAAUGGGUAUGUGGCGGUGUGUACCUCUGUUACGCGGAUACUCCUAGGAGGUGGCAUAUCCGUAUCCGAUACGUAUCGGAUACGGAUACGCCCCGGAUACGCCUUGGAUACGUUUCUAGCCGUAUCCUGAAAAAACGGAUAUGUAUUUGCUUGGAUACGCGUAUCCGAUACUUUUGGGCCAGAUGGGAUACAGCCCAAAGCAGUAAUCAGCCCACCCUAAUGCUGUUUUGGUAGUAAGAGAUGAUACAAAAUGAUGAACUUACUGCAAUAGAACUGUAGAACUAGAUGAGCAGCAACUGAAGAACCCCUUGUGGAAUCAGUUGUGCUUUUAGAGAAGGCUAGUUAUAGAGGUAAUGUUAUAUGGACAUGCAAGUAUUGCACAUCUGAGUAUAGGUGAAGUUACUCAAGAGUAAAAUCUCACUUGCUGAAUAUCUAUGUGAUAUUUAUAUAUAAUUAUUAAUUAUCCUAACCGUAUCCCCGUAUCAGUGUUUUUUGGGAAAGUGCGUAUCCGCGUAUCCGAUACGUAUCGUAUCCGAUACCCGUACUAGUAUCCGUGUAACAUAGGUGUGUACGCUUUGGUUAUCAAAAUGCCCAGCAGCUGAGUAGUUCUGCAAUCUUCUGCUGAGGUUGUGAUAAUAAGUAAUAGCCAGUAGCAUUUCCUGAGAAACAUUUGAAGAAGCCUGGGAUCUUGUGGAAAGAUGUUACACUGAGCUGAUAUGAGACUUGAUUUGUAGCUGCUGACGAAUACAGAAAAUUCCGAAUUAUGAUCACAUGAUGAAUGCUAGAGUCCUGGUUGCACGAUUGCUUUGAAAAUAAUGUGGAUAAAUUGGUGAGGCAGCACGGAUUAGGCAGUGCACUAUUAAUCUGGUGAUUUUGUCAUUGUUAGAUAGCUCAUUUUGGCUGUAAAGUCAUCCAUAAAAAAUGAGCUCAUACCUUUACUGCUUAGUUUGUUUCUUUAAAACAAGAGUUCUCCUUUGCAACCAUUAAAUUACUGUGUGAUUUCCUAAGUUGAUUACCCUGAAGUUCUAAGAUAGGAAGGCUACACUUGCAUGAAACCUUUUUAUAGUUUUAAGUUUUAACCUUAUAUGUGUUUCUGUUACUUCUGAUUUUUAUCCUUUAUGUGUAUCUGAUUGUUCUGUGAGAGGGUAGCUUUUGAUUCUGCCAUGCUCAUUUGCUAAAGCAGUUUGCAUGAACCAUACGAUUUGUGUUUUUCGUUUCAGUUUCUUACCAUCAACUUAUUAAUUGUAAUCAUAUAGAUCCUAGGGACAAAACAGUGAUUAGUGAAGUCCCGAAUGUAGCCAAGAUUGAUAAAGUUAUAGUCUCUGGCAUAACUAAUUCCGCCGAAAACUGAUGUUGCGAUGCUUAGGUUUGUACUUGGUCUUACAGCUGAAAUACAGAUACUUUCUAUCUACCAUAUAUCUUCUUACAGUGGUUAGUUCAGUGUUUUUAACCCAAACUGGAAGUACGGGUAGCAAGAACCUACUGCUGCAUGUUGUGUCACAACACCUUUUCUUCCACUAGUAGGCUGGGAACUAUCCUACUGUAGAUCUUUCAUUUAGCCGCCUUCUAUUUCUCUUGAGUCAGUUGAUUCAAAACUAACCAGUUAGUGUGGUAACAUAUUGCAUUUGUUAAAUUUGAUCCACCCUAGAUAAUCUUGUUCAAUUAGAAUGUUCAGUCAAGGCCAGAUGAUCUUAAAUCAUUGUGAGUACGGUGUGGCAUAGCCAUAAAUUAAUCAAGCGGAAUUACAUGUAAUGCCAACAAGUGAUUCAUGGAAGUAAAUGAGUUACGGAAUUCACUAUUUUAUGACAUCGCGGUUACACGCUGAAGAUGCUGGUAACACAGGUUCAAGACUAGUUCUAACGUGCAUGGUUGCAUCUCCCAGGAUGUUAGGGGAUAUGUUUCUCACAAGUAUCCUGUAUUAUAACAUGAUACGCAAUGGAGGAAUUGUUCGUCUUUUGCCAAACUUUAUACCUUUUUUAAUACACUGUACUGGUACAGCAAUUUAGUGAGAACAAGUGAAUUAAGAGAGCAUUUCAUUCAUCUUUGUCUCAUAUGAUUUUAAAAGAAAAGAACUGGUGAUGUCAACCUGGCUUUAUAUUCUACUCAUUAAGUUUGUUUUAGGAAACCUAUGAAAACGAGCCCAUUAUAGUUAUGCAUUUCUUGAGUAGAAGCCUGAAGUGGUUGAAUUGGUGUUGCCAUACUUCCAUGUGCCCUUUUUUUGAGGGGCUUCUUGAGCAUUGUGGCCAGGGAGUUAAAUUUAUAUAGUUUGCACAGGAUAGAGGUUAGAACUGGGAAGUUCAUUGUCAGUGUUGACAUUAUGGCUUGUAUUAUUUGAGAUCUACCAUAUCCUGAGGCAUCUGGCAUUCUUUAGAGGUUUAAAAAGUUCAUGAUAUGCCCUGAAUAAUUGCAUGUUCUACAAUAUACAAUAUGACACUUGUGCACGGCAAGGUUUAUAUGCGGCGCAAGAAGAAGGCCCAGGCGCCAUCGGCCGUGCCGGACGGGGAACAGUUGGCCAAUAAAAGUGGCUAGGUUUUAGGAGUUUGUUUCCUUGUUAGUCGGAUUGUGUCAAGAGAUAGAGUUUGAGUUGGUUACGUAGUCUUAGCAUUAUAUAUAGUCUUUAGCUUGUAACUUGGGAUGAUCAUCAAUCAAGUAUCUUCCACAUACCGUUUCUCCUACGUUGAAGGGAGCAGUCCUGCCCUCUGGUUGCCGCGCCGCCACGACGGCGUCGAGGCGGCGUCCGAAGGGUCCAGGGCCGCGCCCCUCUACCUCUCACGAGUACAAUCUACGACAUCUUCCUCCCUCCAACAUCCCCGUCCAUAACAAUCUGGUAUCAGGGAUGCCAGGUGACGAUGUGGAUGCAGCGGAGUCCCUCAACAAAUCCAUCCAGAAGCUCUCAGAUCAGAUGACCAGCCUUCAGAUGACCAGCCUCUCCAAGGAUUUCAAGGCCUUGAAGCCGCUCAUCCCGGCGGUGAACGAGUUGGUCAAGCUGCCCGCUGCGAUGAAGUCACUCGCGGGCUCGGUCAAGGAUGCCGAGCAGCAAACCGCGGCCCUCAACUUGGCGGUAUCCAAGCUCGAGGGCUCCGGGUCAAGCAAGAUCGCCAAACUCGGUAUCCAAGCUCGAGGGCUCCGGGUCAAGCAAGAUCGCCAAACAUUCUGGCAAGGAGAAGAAAAAGCAGAUCAGGCCGGUGGACGGCGAUGAUGCGGAGUAUGGGCCGUCCGAGUCCGAGGGCGGGGGUGGCGAUCCGUCCGACCCAUCGUCCUCCUCCGAGGGGUCACGUUCGCCAUCACCGCGUCGUCACCGUCGUGCGUACUGUGACCGGGACGCCCGCCGCCGUUUCCGUGGCGAGGACGAGGAAGACCGGCUCCCGACGCGAGUCCUCAAGAUCGACUUCCCGACGUUCGAUGGAUCUGGUGACCCAUUGAUCUGGCUAAAUCGCUGCGAGAUCUAUUUUCGAGGCAACAAAACCCCGUCACGUCGGCGCGUAUGGAUGGCAUCCCUGCACAUGACGGAGUCGGCACAACUGUGGUACUACAAGUAUGAGAUGAACAACGGCGAGCUGUCGUGGCGCGAUUUCGUCCGACUCGUCCAGAAGCGGUUCGGGCCAACCAUGACCGACACGCCGCUGGGGAGCCUUGCCCUACUACGCCACGCCAGGAACGUCGUCGACUACUCUAACAAGUUCAUGCACUUGGCAUGUCGCGAGGCGGAGUUCUCUGUACUCCAACAGGUGCAUCUCGACGAUUAUGCAGCAGUGUUCCAGGAACCGCACGGCCUGCCUCCGGAACGUCGCCACAGCCACCGUAUUCGCCUGGUGGCCGGCACCGACGCGAUUGCGGUGCGCCCGUACCGCUACGCACACCUGCAGAAGGACGAACUGGAACGCCAGUGCGCCGACAUGCUUCGACAGGGGAUCAUCCGUCCAAGUUCAUCAGCGUUCUCCUCCCCGGUCCUACUGGUGCGCAAGCCGGAUGGGUUUUGGCGUCUCUGCAUCGACUAUCGCGCGCUGAACGCGAAGACCCUCAAGGAUAAGUUCCCCAUUCCCGUGGUGGAGGAGCUUCUCGACGAACUUCGGGGUGCCAUGUUCUUCACCAAAUUAGACCUCCGCUCAGGGUACUACCAGGUUCGCAUGUUUGAGGGCGACAUCGACAAGACAGCUUUCCGCAUGCACCAAGGGCUGUUUGAGUUCUUGGUCAUGCCGUUCAGGUUGUCGAACGCGCCGGCUACCUUCCAGGCGUUGAUGAAUGAGGUACUCCAACCGUUUCUCCGGAAGUUUGUAUUGGUUUUCUUCGACGACAUCUUGAUCUACAGCACUUCCCGAGCCGAGCAUCUGCGCCAUGUCCGCCUCGUCCUCGACACCCUGCGCUAGCACCAGCUGUUCCUCAAGCGCAGCAAGUGUACCUUCGCCCAGACGUCUGUCACGUAUUUGGGCCAUGUGAUCUCGGAGCAUGGCGUGGCCAUGGACCGCGGCAAGGUGGACGCGGUGCUGGCAUGGCCCCAGCCCCGUUCAGUCCGGGCUGUCCGCGGCUUCCUCGGCCUCGCGGGCUAUUACAGGCGCUUCAUAAAGGACUACGGGGUCAUCGCGGCUCCCUUGACGAAGCUGCUACGGAAGGAGGCCUUCCACUGGACAGAAGAGUCCACGGCUGCCUUCCGGGCUCUCCAGAACGCGCUCACCUCCGCCCCGGUGCUCCAGCUGCCGGACUUCUCACAGUCCUUCGUCGUGGAGUGUGAUGCAUCGGGGUCGGGAUUUGGGGCGGUGCUGUGUCAAGAGGGCGGGCCGAUUGCCUUCUUCAGCCGACAGAUCGCGCCGCGACACGCCAAACUUGCCGCCUAUGAGAGGGAGCUUAUCGGUCUUGUCCAAGCGGUGCGCCAUUGGCGGCCUUAUCUCUGGGGCCGGGAGUUCGUGGUGCGCACAUACCACUACAGCCUCAAGUUUUUGCCUGACCAACGUCUUGCCACGAUCCCACAACAUUAGUGGGCAAGCAAACUUUUGGGUUUUGAUUUCAGGGUGGAGUACAAGCCAGGCGCCCAGAACGUGGUGGCGGAUGCGUUGUCACGUCGCGAUGCUGAUGGCGAGGGCGAGCUGGCUGCGCUUUCUGCUCCGUCCUUCCAGCUCUUCUCCGAGCUCCGGGACGCGGUUGCGGCUGAUGCGUCUUUGGCCGAACAGCGCAGCAAGGCGGAUCAAGCAGCGGAUGGGUGGAGCUGGGUCGAUGGCCUGUUGCUCCGCCAUGGCAAGAUCUACGUACCGGCUUCACUGGACCUCGCCGACACACUGAUCGCCCAGGCACAUGGCGCGGGUCAUGAAGGCACACAAAAGACACUACUUCGCCUACGUGCUGACUUUGCCGUCGACCGAGAUCGCGUACGAGUGUGUGACUUCGUCCGGCGCUGCGAGGUGUGCCAACGUAACAAGACCGAGCACCUCCGUCCGGGCGGCCUCCUACAGCCUCUACCGGUUCCGUCGACGGUAUGGGCUGACAUCGCCAUGGAUUUCGUUGAAGGCGUACCACGUGUGAACGGCAAAUCAGUCAUCCUUACGGUGGUGGAUCGGUUUUCGAAGUAUGCUCACUUCAUGCCGCUUGCACACCCCUACAUGGCGACCUCGGUGGCGCGCGUGUUCUUCGACGAGGUGGUGCGUUUUCACGGGUUGCCGGCUUCUGUCGUCAGCGAUCGUGACCCGGUCUUCACCAGCUCUUUCUGGCGCGAGUUGUUUCGGCUGUCCGGAGUGCAGCUGCAGUACUCUACGGCGUUUCACCCCCAGUCGGAUGGACAAUCGGAGGCGACGAACAAGAUAAUCAUGAUGUAUCUGCGGUGCUUGACGGGAGAUCGACCGCGGUAGUGGCUCAGAUGGCUUCCAUGGGCGGAGUAUUGUUACAACUCCUAUCAGGCCUCCAUCAAGACAUCACCAUUCAGGGUCGUUUACGGCCGUGACCCGCCUACCAUCGCGGCGUACGGGCCUGGCGACUCCAAGCUGCCGGCGGUGGAGCAGCAGAUGUUGGGACGUGAUGAGUUCCUUACUGAGAUCAAGGACAGAUUGGAGCAAGCACAACAGCAGGCCAAAUCUCAGUAUGACAAGACCCACCGGCACGUGGAGUUUCAGGUGGGGGACUGGGUGCUCUUGCGUCUAUUGCACCGGCCGACAGCGUCACUCAAUGAUACUCGUGGACGAGGGAAGCUAGGCCAGCGUUACUUCGGCCCGUACAGGGUGCUUGAGCGGAUUGGACCCGCAUGUUGAAAGAACUGCACCAGAAGUGUCCCAAAGAGAUGGACGCGUAUGCUGGUUGCAUGUAUUACUUCACCAAUGAAUUUGACUUCUGCCGUAAGGAGCAGCAAGCUUUUGAGGAAGCCUGCCCCAUUUCUGAGUAGAUCAUUCAGAGUUUUACUUCAAGUGAUCUUCGCCAAUAAGGAGAAAAGCCAACAAACCGAGUUCAUUAUCUCCCAUGUUUGCUGUCCUCAUGUAAUUUUUACUGAAUGAAUAGCACACCCUGGAGCUAUUCACCCCACUUGUCUCUCUAUAUUUUUCAAACUUGAAUUGACUCAGCCCAUCAGUCGUAGGUUCUAAAAUGAUGAUGAUGAUGGUUUCACUUGUUGUGGUUCACAAAAUACAUUUGGCGGACCUGCCCUUGUUUCUGGCCGAGUGCUGCUAA
Panicum virgatum (switchgrass) is the source of this 7017-nucleotide RNA transcript. It is a transcript of the gene named NADH dehydrogenase [ubiquinone] 1 alpha subcomplex subunit 8-B-like, with no coding region annotated. The transcript is spliced from 2 exons. The record is from RefSeq and is a predicted model, not a curated record. NCBI's taxonomy places the organism in Eukaryota, Viridiplantae, Streptophyta, Magnoliopsida, Poales, Poaceae.